RNAcentral lists this transfer RNA (77 nucleotides) under Candidatus Fermentithermobacillaceae bacterium. Its description in RNAcentral is "tRNA-His". It matches the Rfam family "tRNA". Rfam says of the family: Transfer RNA (tRNA) molecules are approximately 80 nucleotides in length. Their secondary structure includes four short double-helical elements and three loops (D, anti-codon, and T loops). The record is from RNAcentral. Lineage: Bacteria; Bacillati; Bacillota; Candidatus Fermentithermobacillia; Candidatus Fermentithermobacillales; Candidatus Fermentithermobacillaceae.
GUGGAUGUAGCUCAGUUGGUUAGAGCGCCAGGUUGUGGCCCUGGAGGUCACGGGUUCGAAUCCCGUCAUUCACCCCA